Non-coding RNA from Paramuricea clavata, 574 nucleotides. Lineage: Eukaryota; Metazoa; Cnidaria; Anthozoa; Malacalcyonacea; Plexauridae. The record is from the annotation of a GenBank genome assembly.
CUCACGUUCACGUUAUAGGAAUUUAUUACUUUACCGUUCUAUACCGUAUAAUUUUACAUCCCAGCCUACUGUGGCUGAAUUGCGUAAAAAUUACAAGUACAUAGUACAUACAAAAUAGUUACAGAUAUAUAUCCGAUACUCGAUAGAUAGAUCUAAAUCCAAAGGGUCAUUUAUAUUAUAAAAUAUUACAAGUUUAUAAAAUGUUAAAAUACACAGUAUGGUUCAUAUCUACUUCUAAAGCUACGAACAGCCUCAAAAAAUUUGACGGUGGUUGCGUGCCCCGAGGUUGUGCCCAGUCGCGUAUAUAUAAUAGAAUGCCCCGAUUAACGAACGAUCUAUAUAUAACUGAUAACAACUAAACAUUGCAGAUUGUCCAGUGGCAUGGCUACGUCAUUGUGUAUCAUCUUUAUAUUGAAACCCAACAACUUUUAUCAACGGGGGCAAUAGUCCUAGGAAUAUCGCCCCCGGGGGUGAAUAUUAGGAAUAUUGCCCCCCUUUAGGAUAUUCGCUGCCCAUAUAUGCGAUAUGAUUUAUUCAAAUAAUUAUAUAUAUAUAUAUAUAUAUAUAUAUAUAU